AAUUUGUCAACUAAUAAAAUAUAGAACGGAACAAGCUCUACAAUUUAUUAGUUGACGACUUUUUGUUAU
Caenorhabditis elegans is the source of this 69-nucleotide non-coding RNA. Lineage: Eukaryota; Metazoa; Nematoda; Chromadorea; Rhabditida; Rhabditidae. The record is from Ensembl.